AAAUUGAAGAGUUUGAUCAUGGCUCAGAUUGAACGCUGGCGGCAGGCCUAACACAUGCAAGUCGAACGGUAACAGGAAACAGCUUGCUGUUUCGCUGACGAGUGGCGGACGGGUGAGUAAUGUCUGGGAAACUGCCUGAUGGAGGGGGAUAACUACUGGAAACGGUAGCUAAUACCGCAUA
This 181-nucleotide ribosomal RNA is filed under the name Escherichia coli. Its description in RNAcentral is "partial 16S ribosomal RNA". It matches the Rfam family "Bacterial small subunit ribosomal RNA", at positions 1 to 175 of the family's 1533-position model. The record is from RNAcentral. RNAcentral also lists the same sequence under 2 other names. Lineage: Bacteria; Pseudomonadati; Pseudomonadota; Gammaproteobacteria; Enterobacterales; Enterobacteriaceae.